Molecule: RNA transcript, 1972 nt
Organism: Cyprinodon tularosa
Lineage: Eukaryota; Metazoa; Chordata; Actinopteri; Cyprinodontiformes; Cyprinodontidae
Gene name: lithostathine-1-beta-like
Exons: 7
Source: RefSeq, a predicted model, not a curated record
UCUUCCUCUAUGUUCCUGGAUUGAAAGGGACCGUACUGGUGAGAAAGUGAACCGUGUCUAUAGUUUUAAAUAAAUUCCUUUUAGACAGCACUGCAGAGUCCAGACUUGGAGUCCUUCCCACCAGUUUGUGGUUUCAGUUCUCAGCAGUGAGAUUACAGGUCAUGGCACGUCUGAUUUCUCUGCUGUUGGUGCUUGCAACCAUGCAGAUACUUCUUAUUGAAGCAGAAGCUUCGGUACAAGGAAACCUCAGUAUAUCACGUGAGAAUUGCCCUCGGCGCUGGAAGAUUAAAGAGGAUUCAACUGCAGAGGCUCUCGAAAUCAGGUGUUGGAUAGGAAAAAAAAAAUCUUUGGCAUUUCUUUGGCUUUGCCAAAGAAAUGUUCUAAUGAUGUCAAUACAUGCAAUUGCCUCAACGUUACAAUUGAAAGCAAUGAAUUUUUCAUAAAGAAAAAGAACGAAUGGAUACCUGUAAAGAAGUCUGAAAGUUUUAUAUUUUGUAAAAAAUGCUGCACGACUGAAUGCCCUCUUUAUUGUAGAGAUACAGACUGGAGACAAGGGUUAUGGAUUGAAUCAAAGAUUUCAACAAUUGAUGUGAAAUUUAAUAGCAAUUCUAAGUUAAGUGUGACUAACGAGGAUGAUGGUGAAACAGAAACAUUUCUGCAGGCUAUAAAUGAGACCAACAGCUGGAUUAAAGCUCUGCAGCACUGCCGACAUUUGAAUUCGACCCUGGUUCAGAUCACUGAUGAGACAGUGGGGUACGAAUUGCUGAGUCUGCUAGAGGAAAAUGAAGCCUUACAGAACGGAUCCUGGAUCGGACUGGAACGCUCCAUCUUUGGCACCAACUUGGAGUGGAAGUGGACCUCGGGGAUCAAAGCUGAUUACUCCGACUGGAACAGCAGCUUUUCUGUCGAUCCCUUGAACAACCACUGCGGAAAGAUUGUUUGGCUUGAAGAUUCAGACGAUUUCCAGCUGCUGGAUGGAAACUGCCAUGAAAAGCUACCUUUCAUCUGCCAACGUCAGCCAUAAUCUCUACGGAGCUCAGAAAACUACAUAGAUGGAUCAUCUUUCUGCGAAAAGUACUCUUUAAUUAUAAAGGGUUGCUCUGGAUUGCAUGUUUUUUUUUUAUGUUAGAUAUAUCGUUUUACAUUUAGUUAUUUUAUUUUAUUUCAUUUUAUGCUUUAUAUAUUUAUUAAGCAGCAUGAUUAAAACAAGCAGUUUAUCAUCUUUGAAAUUUUAUUUUUACCUCUUUUUGUAUUUCUGUUGAUGAAGAAGUAAAAAACCCAGAAAAAUUAGAACUAAAUUAACAAAUCUGAUUUGUAUUUUUUGGCUCAGAAUAAGAUCAAGAGUGAAGUUUUUAAGGGAUAUUUUCACAAAACCACUUUAAGGUACUUUAUCCGUUUUACAUGAAAAAGACCCAGAAAACUUUACUCUUUUUCAUAAAAGUUUAUCAUUUAAUUUCAUGUUAAUUCAACUUUAAAUGUUUUUUUUUUUUUUUUGAUUUCCAUGUUUUGUUUUGGGUUUUUUUUUAUCAUUUUUCUUAAGGUUUAUAUAAAUGCAAUAUCUAACAUAAACGUUUCUUAUUUGUUUCUGUAGAUAUUGUGAGGCUAUUGAUUAUAUUUAUAUUCUUAUCCAUAUAUAUAACACUGAGAUGAGUGUUUUUGUCAGCCUUAUGCUACUUUAUAAUUAAUUUUAUUAUUUUCUUAAGGUUCAUUUAUACUCAUUUGUGUCUAAGCUUUAAUCUGAUGACUGAUAUCGAUCCUUUUGUCACUUCUCAAAAAAGAAUAACAAGCCUACUAAGGUUUAUAGACAGAUUACAUUACUUAAUUUCUUUAUUUCAUAUUAUAAUUUGACACAGUUAUUACAUUUGUAUUUGCUUUAAUAUUAUCGGUGGUGAUUGUUAAAUUCUUGUGCCUUUGGUUUUUGACCUCUAUAAAAUACUAUCUCACCAAUAAAUACAAUCUGACAGAUUCCCUA